RNAcentral lists this ribosomal RNA (3088 nucleotides) under Salmonella enterica. Its description in RNAcentral is "23S ribosomal RNA". It matches the Rfam family "Bacterial large subunit ribosomal RNA". RNAcentral also lists the same sequence under 1 other name. The record is from RNAcentral. Lineage: Bacteria; Pseudomonadati; Pseudomonadota; Gammaproteobacteria; Enterobacterales; Enterobacteriaceae.
GGUUAAGCGACUAAGCGUACACGGUGGAUGCCCUGGCAGUCAGAGGCGAUGAAGGGCGUGCUAAUCUGCGAUAAGCGCCGGUAAGGUGAUAUGAACCGUUAUAACCGGCGAUACCCGAAUGGGGAAACCCAGUGUGAUUCGUCACACUAUCAUUAACUGAAUCCAUAGGUUAAUGAGGCGAACCGGGGGAACUGAAACAUCUAAGUACCCCGAGGAAAAGAAAUCAACCGAGAUUCCCCCAGUAGCGGCGAGCGAACGGGGAGGAGCCCAGAGCCUGAAUCAGCAUGUGUGUUAGUGGAAGCGUCUGGAAAGGUGCGCGAUACAGGGUGACAGCCCCGUACACAAAAGCGCAUGUGCUGUGAGCUCGAUGAGUAGGGCGGGACACGUGGUAUCCUGUCUGAAUAUGGGGGGACCAUCCUCCAAGGCUAAAUACUCCUGACUGACCGAUAGUGAACCAGUACCGUGAGGGAAAGGCGAAAAGAACCCCGGCGAGGGGAGUGAAAAAGAACCUGAAACCGUGUACGUACAAGCAGUGGGAGCCCCACCACUAAGCCAGUGGUGAACUCCACAUCCGCAUCCUUUGCUGAGGAUACGGUUAACGGAGCGAAAGCGACGUUCAACCGCAAAACAAGCAGAGGGGGCUUAGUGGUGGGGUGACUGCGUACCUUUUGUAUAAUGGGUCAGCGACUUAUAUUCUGUAGCAAGGUUAACCGAAUAGGGGAGCCGGAGGGAAACCGAGUCUUAAUUGGGCGUUAAGUUGCAGGGUAUAGACCCGAAACCCGGUGAUCUAGCCAUGGGCAGGUUGAAGGUUGGGUAACACUAACUGGAGGACCGAACCGACUAAUGUUGAAAAAUUAGCGGAUGACCUGUGGCUGGGGGUGAAAGGCCAAUCAAACCGGGAGAUAGCUGGUUCUCCCCGAAAGCUAUUUAGGUAGCGCCUCGUGAAUUCAUCUCCGGGGGUAGAGCACUGUUUCGGCUAGGGGGCCAUCCCGGCUUACCAACCCGAUGCAAACUGCGAAUACCGGAGAAUGUUAUCACGGGAGACACACGGCGGGUGCUAACGUCCGUCGUGAAGAGGGAAACAACCCAGACCGCCAGCUAAGGUCCCAAAGUCAUGGUUAAGUGGGAAACGAUGUGGGAAGGCCCAGACAGCCAGGAUGUUGGCUUAGAAGCAGCCAUCAUUUAAAGAAAGCGUAAUAGCUCACUGGUCGAGUCGGCCUGCGCGGAAGAUGUAACGGGGCUAAACCAUGCACCGAAGCUGCGGCAGCGAACGUAUCACUUAAAGCGAUUCAGCGGGUUACGAUUGACGGAGCGAAGCGACGUCAAAGCGUAUACAAAGUCGAGUCGGUUUAAGGAUACGUUCGUUGGGUAGGGGAGCGUUCUGUAAGCCCGUGAAGGUGGCCUGUGAGGGUUGCUGGAGGUAUCAGAAGUGCGAAUGCUGACAUAAGUAACGAUAAAGCGGGUGAAAAGCCCGCUCGCCGGAAGACCAAGGGUUCCUGUCCAACGUUAAUCGGGGCAGGGUGAGUCGACCCCUAAGGCGAGGCCGAAAGGCGUAGUCGAUGGGAAACGGGUUAAUAUUCCCGUACUUGGUGUUACUGCGAAGGGGGGACGGAGAAGGCUAUGUUGGCCGGGCGACGGUUGUCCCGGUUUAAGCGUGUAGGUGUGUGUUCCAGGUAAAUCCGGUUCACUUUAACACUGAGGCGUGACGACGAGGCACUACGGUGCUGAAGCAACAAAUGCCCUGCUUCCAGGAAAAGCCUCUAAGCAUCAGGUAACACGAAAUCGUACCCCAAACCGACACAGGUGGUCAGGUAGAGAAUACCAAGGCGCUUGAGAGAACUCGGGUGAAGGAACUAGGCAAAAUGGUGCCGUAACUUCGGGAGAAGGCACGCUGACACGUAGGUGAAGUGAUUUACUCAUGGAGCUGAAGUCAGUCGAAGAUACCAGCUGGCUGCAACUGUUUAUUAAAAACACAGCACUGUGCAAACACGAAAGUGGACGUAUACGGUGUGACGCCUGCCCGGUGCCGGAAGGUUAAUUGAUGGGGUCAGCGCAAGCGAAGCUCCUGAUCGAAGCCCCGGUAAACGGCGGCCGUAACUAUAACGGUCCUAAGGUAGCGAAAUUCCUUGUCGGGUAAGUUCCGACCUGCACGAAUGGCGUAAUGAUGGCCAGGCUGUCUCCACCCGAGACUCAGUGAAAUUGAACUCGCUGUGAAGAUGCAGUGUACCCGCGGCAAGACGGAAAGACCCCGUGAACCUUUACUAUAGCUUGACACUGAACAUUGAGCCUUGAUGUGUAGGAUAGGUGGGAGGCUUUGAAGUGUGGACGCCAGUCUGCAUGGAGCCGACCUUGAAAUACCACCCUUUAAUGUUUGAUGUUCUAACGUGGACCCGUAAUCCGGGUUGCGGACAGUGUCUGGUGGGUAGUUUGACUGGGGCGGUCUCCUCCUAAAGAGUAACGGAGGAGCACGAAGGUUGGCUAAUCCUGGUCGGACAUCAGGAGGUUAGUGCAAUGGCAUAAGCCAGCUUGACUGCGAGCGUGACGGCGCGAGCAGGUGCGAAAGCAGGUCAUAGUGAUCCGGUGGUUCUGAAUGGAAGGGCCAUCGCUCAACGGAUAAAAGGUACUCCGGGGAUAACAGGCUGAUACCGCCCAAGAGUUCAUAUCGACGGCGGUGUUUGGCACCUCGAUGUCGGCUCAUCACAUCCUGGGGCUGAAGUAGGUCCCAAGGGUAUGGCUGUUCGCCAUUUAAAGUGGUACGCGAGCUGGGUUUAGAACGUCGUGAGACAGUUCGGUCCCUAUCUGCCGUGGGCGCUGGAGAACUGAGGGGGGCUGCUCCUAGUACGAGAGGACCGGAGUGGACGCAUCACUGGUGUUCGGGUUGUCAUGCCAAUGGCACUGCCCGGUAGCUAAAUGCGGAAGAGAUAAGUGCUGAAAGCAUCUAAGCACGAAACUUGCCCCGAGAUGAGUUCUCCCUGAGACUUAGAGUCUCCUGAAGGAACGUUGAAGACGACGACGUUGAUAGGCCGGGUGUGUAAGCGCAGCGAUGCGUUGAGCUAACCGGUACUAAUGAACCGUGAGGCUUAACCUU